Molecule: small RNA, 86 nt
Filed under: Chryseobacterium formosense
Lineage: Bacteria; Pseudomonadati; Bacteroidota; Flavobacteriia; Flavobacteriales; Weeksellaceae
Description: Flavo-1 RNA
Source: RNAcentral
UUUGCGACCCGGCUUGAGCGGAAAUCCUUUUUUUUGCGUCGGGAAAGACAGGCAAAAAAGAUUGAGAGCGGAAGACGGAAUUUGUC